CGAAAAGUUCUUGGUAAUCCGGGUAGAGGAUCGAUUAAGACUGUAGCAGGAAGUGGAAUAGCUCGGACGAUUCCUUCUUUGACAUCUACUUCAACACCUCUUAGAUCAGGGUUGCUAGAAAAUCGUACUGAAAAGAGGAAAAGAAUGAUAUCAACUGGCUCAGAAUUGAAUGAAGAUUACCCUAAGGAAAAUGAUUCAUCAUCGAACAACAAGGCCAUGACAGAUCCCUCCAGAAAGUAUUUAACCAGCAGUAGAGAAAAGCAGCUGAGUUUGAAACAGUCAGAAGAGAAUAGGACAUCAGGGCUUUUACCUUUACAGUCAUCAUCCUUUUAUGGUAGCAGAGCUGGAUCCAAGGAACACUCUUCUGGUGGCACUAACUUAGACAGUAUUCUGGAAGAAAAGACUAAGGAAAAUAAAGGCAAGGAAAUUGGC
RNAcentral lists this long non-coding RNA (432 nucleotides) under Homo sapiens (human). RNAcentral's name for it is "HSALNT0047301". The record is from RNAcentral. Lineage: Eukaryota; Metazoa; Chordata; Mammalia; Primates; Hominidae.